UCGAAAGAGAACCGAUACACAGGUGCUGCAUGGCUGUCGUCAGCUCGUGUCGUGAGAUGUUGGGUUAAGUCCCGCAACGAGCGCAACCCUUGUCCUUAGUUGCUACGCAAGAGCACUCUAGGGAGACUGCCGGUGACAAACCGGAGGAAGGUGGGGAUGACGUCAAGUCCUCAUGGCCCUUAUGGGUAGGGCUUCACACGUCAUACAAUGGUCGGAACAGAGGGUCGCCAACCCGCGAGGGGGAGCUAAUCCCAGAAAACCGAUCGUAGUCCGGAUUGCACUCUGCAACUCGAGUGCAUGAAGCUGGAAUCGCUAGUAAUCGCGGAUCAGCAUGCCGCGGUGAAUACGUUCC
This 352-nucleotide ribosomal RNA is filed under the name Burkholderia sp. 210S. Its description in RNAcentral is "bacterial SSU rRNA". It matches the Rfam family "Bacterial small subunit ribosomal RNA", at positions 1016 to 1374 of the family's 1533-position model. Lineage: Bacteria; Pseudomonadati; Pseudomonadota; Betaproteobacteria; Burkholderiales; Burkholderiaceae. The record is from RNAcentral.